UACGUAGGGGGCAAGCGUUGUCCGGAAUCAUUGGGCGUAAAGCGCGUGUAGGCGGUUCGAUAAGUCUGCUGUGAAAGUCCAGGGCUCAACCCUGGGAUGCCGGUGGAUACUGUCGGACUAGAGUACGGAAGAGGCGAGUGGAAUUCCCGGUGUAGCGGUGAAAUGCGCAGAUAUCAGGAGGAACACCAGUGGCGAAGGCGCCGCUCUGGGCCGUGACUGACGCUGAGGAGCGAAAGCGUGGGUAGCAAACAGG
This 253-nucleotide ribosomal RNA is filed under the name uncultured bacterium. RNAcentral's name for it is "partial 16S ribosomal RNA". It matches the Rfam family "Bacterial small subunit ribosomal RNA", at positions 524 to 776 of the family's 1533-position model. The record is from RNAcentral.